UAACGCGUGGGUAACCUGCCUUGUACUGGGGGACAACAGUUGGAAACGACUGCUAAUACCGCAUAAGCGCACAGCUUCGCAUGAAGCAGUGUGAAAAACUCCGGUGGUACAAGAUGGACCCGCGUCUGAUUAGCUGGUUGGUGAGGUAACGGCCCACCAAGGCGACGAUCAGUAGCCGGCCUGAGAGGGUGAACGGCCACAUUGGGACUGAGACACGGCCCAAACUCCUACGGGAGGCAGCAGUGGGGAAUAUUGCACAAUGGGGGAAACCCUGAUGCAGCAACGCCGCGUGAGUGAAGAAGUAUUUCGGUAUGUAAAGCUCUAUCAGCAGGAAAGAAAAUGACGGUACCUGACUAAGAAGCCCCGGCUAACUACGUGCCAGCAGCCGCGGUAAUACGUAGGGGGCAAGCGUUAUCCGGAUUUACUGGGUGUAAAGGGAGUGUAGACGGUUUUGCAAGUCUGAAGUGAAAGCCCGGGGCUUAACCCCGGGACUGCUUUGGAAACUGUAGGACUAGAGUGCAGGAGAGGUAAGUGGAAUUCCUAGUGUAGCGGUGAAAUGCGUAGAUAUUAGGAGGAACACCAGUGGCGAAGGCGGCUUACUGGACUGUAACUGACGUUGAGGCUCGAAAGCGUGGGGAGCAAACAGGAUUAGAUACCCUGGUAGUCCACGCCGUAAACGAUGAUUACUAGGUGU
RNAcentral lists this ribosomal RNA (694 nucleotides) under uncultured bacterium. RNAcentral describes it as "bacterial SSU rRNA". It matches the Rfam family "Bacterial small subunit ribosomal RNA", at positions 111 to 823 of the family's 1533-position model. The record is from RNAcentral.